AUGCCAAUUCUUUUCUCACAAGAGCUGCUCAUCUCCGUAGUGGUCGUGCUGCUUGUUCCCCUCUACCUGUACCUCAGGGCUAGUUGUAGAUCAAAGAACCCAUCAGUGCUCCCAACAAACUGGCCAAUAUUGCACAUGUUCCCUUCCUUAGUGGCCAACAUCCACAACAUCCAUGACUAUGGCACCCUGGUCCUCGCUGGAUCAGGCCACAACUUCAGGGCGCACGGCCCACCUGGGACCGGAAUGCGGUUCUUCAUCACAUGCGACCCUAGGAACGUUCGACACAUCUUUACAACCAACUACACCAAUUUCCCCAAGGGCGCGGAGUUCGCCGCUAUCUUCGACAUCAUGGGCGGCAGCCUCUUCACCAUCGAUGGCGAGCUGUGUCUUAGGCAGCGCGCCAAAGUCAAGGGCGUGCUCAGCAAUCCACGGUUGGUUGCUAGGAUUGCGGCUUGCUGCCGUGACAAGGUGAAGAACAUCCUGCUCCCUUUAUUUACCCACAUGGCGAGCACAGGCACCCCGUUCGACAUGCAAGAAAUGAUGUCGAGGUUUAUGUUUGACCUGGCUGCUACGUCUCUCUUCGGCGUGAACCCCGGCCUCCUAUCCCCAGACAUGCCACCCAUGGACGCCGCAGUCGCCAUGGAUAUAGUCAUGGAGGUCGGUUUUCUCCGACACGUGAUGCCGGCUUCUUGCUGGAAGUUGAUGAAGCAACUAAACAUCGGCCCUGAGAGAAAGCUUCGCAUGGCGCACAGGGUGCUACGAGGGUUCGUUGUGGAGAUGAUGAAGAGGAGGAAGAUCAACACAUGUCAUGUUGGUAAUGACGAGGAACAAGAUGGUGUGGAUUUUGUGUCUUCGUUCCUCCAUGACCCUGACUAUGCUGAUGAUGACUUGUUCCUUGCUAUGAUGAUUGGUUACAUGGUCGCUGCAAGGGAUACAAUUGGAACUACCCUAACAUGA
This 957-nucleotide ribosomal RNA is filed under the name Triticum aestivum (bread wheat). RNAcentral describes it as "partial small subunit ribosomal RNA". The record is from RNAcentral. Lineage: Eukaryota; Viridiplantae; Streptophyta; Magnoliopsida; Poales; Poaceae.